RNAcentral lists this small nuclear RNA (19 nucleotides) under Arabidopsis thaliana (thale cress). RNAcentral describes it as "snRNA_03941". The record is from RNAcentral. Lineage: Eukaryota; Viridiplantae; Streptophyta; Magnoliopsida; Brassicales; Brassicaceae.
CAAAACGUCAAUUGCAAGA